GACGAACGCUGGCGGCGUGCCUAAUACAUGCAAGUAGAACGCUGAAGGAGGAGCUUGCUUCUCUGGAUGAGUUGCGAACGGGUGAGUAACGCGUAGGUAACCUGCCUGGUAGCGGGGGAUAACUAUUGGAAACGAUAGCUAAUACCGCAUAAGAGUAGAUGUUGCAUGACAUUUGCUUAAAAGGUGCAAUUGCAUCACUACCAGAUGGACCUGCGUUGUAUUAGCUAGUUGGUGGGGUAACGGCUCACCAAGGCGACGAUACAUAGCCGACCUGAGAGGGUGAUCGGCCACACUGGGACUGAGACACGGCCCAGACUCCUACGGGAGGCAGCAGUAGGGAAUCUUCGGCAAUGGACGGAAGUCUGACCGAGCAACGCCGCGUGAGUGAAGAAGGUUUUCGGAUCGUAAAGCUCUGUUGUAAGAGAAGAACGAGUGUGAGAGUGGAAAGUUCACACUGUGACGGUAUCUUACCAGAAAGGGACGGCUAACUACGGG
Molecule: ribosomal RNA, 495 nt
Filed under: uncultured bacterium
Lineage: Bacteria
Description: partial 16S ribosomal RNA
Rfam family: Bacterial small subunit ribosomal RNA
Source: RNAcentral